Molecule: long non-coding RNA, 1734 nt
Organism: Bolinopsis microptera
Lineage: Eukaryota; Metazoa; Ctenophora; Tentaculata; Lobata; Bolinopsidae
Exons: 5
Source: RefSeq, a predicted model, not a curated record
UUUUCGCCAAUAUCUCGUUAGGGGAGAAUUUUAACCUUAUGUCAUGGGGGUAAUAGGUAAGUACUUAGUAACCUCUUUGCUUUUAUUCGAGCCUUUUAUUAAAUCGAAGUUACAGUUCACGAGGUUGAUCCUUUGGGAGAUAUUAAAUCCUGUUUUACUAUUAUUUAUAAAUUCUAACGUUUAACUUUAAUAAUAAUAAGUAAGUUUGGACGCAGACUAGAAACGAGUUUAAUCGACUAAGUUUUUGAUUUUGUGUACCUUUUUAUCAUACAACUUUUUAAUUUCAGCAAAUUUUAGUUAAAGAGUAAAUCAAAGUUAGCAAUCAUUGAACUCAAUAGUUAAAAAGGUGACUGUAAAAAUAGAACUAAGAUUUCGAUACUUUUAAAUGAACUUCUAGUUCUAAUGAUAUAAUUUUAAAUUAUUAGAUGUUUAAAUUUUCCUGAUAGCUGGAUCAUAGUCAUGUAGAAAUUAGGUUAAACAUUGUCAUGCAGAAAUUAGGUUGAAAUAAUUUUGUCCAUAGAAAACACAGUCACGCCUUACAUUAUUACAAGCUUUAAAGGGCUCGUGAGUCGUGUUAGUGUUACUAUUACUUUUGAGCUUGAAAGCAGACAAAACUUUGCUUAUUUGUUUGUUUAUUAUUUUGUUUGUUAUUAGAGAAAGAAGACAAUAUUACCUCUCGAUUAUUUCAGGAGAAGCUAAAAGCGCUGAAAGACAAAGAAGCAUCUCCCGCAGGAGCUGUUGAAUCAGCACGCUGAAGAAGUACAGAGACUGGUGAACAAGCUGAUAAACUCAGACAGCAGCAAAAACUUCAAGAUCUAAAAUAGGCCCGGGCUUUUUUUUAAGUUACUGACAUGACGCUGGUCCUCACUUUUUGGAGUCUACUCCCUCAUUUCCAGGCUGAACAGGAAGCUGUACAACAACCGGUCUGACAAGUUACAAGUGGUGGACCUACAUCAUCUAGAUGUACAGGUACAAAUUCUACUAGUACGAUUCGAUGCAGUGGAAGAGGUUGAAGUUGACGUUUAAGCAGUCACCCUGCCGAACAAGAAAUCAGUCAGGCAAAGAGGCUAGGUUGACUAGAAACUCAAUCACUAUAUCCGUGAAACUUGCUGGAAGCUAUGUGUGGAGGUCGGACCGAAACUGUAAUCAGACACUAAACAUUAACGAGGACCAAUUAUUUUACUCCCUUAAUGAUGAAUAAAGAUCGCUGAUUGCUUUUACUAAUAUAUAGUGUUAAAAUGAAAGAGAAACUGUUGAGACGAAAGAGAAAAACGCACUCAUUUAUUUAUAGUUUUAUGUCUUAACAAUGUUAUUCGAAAGCUAAUUUUAAAAGCUGGCUCUGAAUCCUUGCUAAAUGAUUUGGGAAGGUGUAAGGGCUAAAUAUGCCUGUAGACAUCAUUUUCAGUGGGUUUUAUGAAGUUUAUGAUUAGGGUAUAUUUUGGGACUGAAAUAAGCGCAAGACCUUCGACGUUUCUAUUCCUACUGUUUUUUUAAUUUAGCAAAUAUACAAAAAAAAAUUAUACUGUCGUAAAGAUAAAAUGUUUAGUCAUCGGAUAGAUACUUCAAAAUUAAGUAUUAAAAUAACCGAGCUAAGAUAUUCAAUGUUAAACUCAAAAAUGUUCACGCGUUUAUGAAGAAAUAUCUAAUUCUGCGCGUAGUUUUUUGGUCACAACUAUGGCAAAUUUUUACCAAUUUUGUUCAUAAUUUCAAAAUGUUAUUUAGUAGACAAAUUAC